Molecule: ribosomal RNA, 428 nt
Filed under: uncultured bacterium
Lineage: Bacteria
Description: partial 16S ribosomal RNA
Rfam family: Bacterial small subunit ribosomal RNA
Source: RNAcentral
GUGGGGAAUAUUGGGCAAUGGGCGCAAGCCUGACCCAGCAACGCCGCGUGAAGGAAGAAGGUCUUCGGAUUGUAAACUUCUGUCAUUGGGGACGAAGGAAGUGACGGUACCCAAUGAGGAAGCCCCGGCUAACUACGUGCCAGCAGCCGCGGUAAUACGUAGGGGGCGAGCGUUGUCCGGAAUUACUGGGCGUAAAGGGUGCGUAGGCGGCGAUGCAAGUCCAUUGUGAAAAGCCCGGGCUUAACCUGGGAGGUGCAGUGGAAACUGCAUGGCUUGAGUGCAGGAGAGGAAAGUGGAAUUCCUAGUGUAGCGGUGAAAUGCGUAGAUAUUAGGAGGAACACCAGUGGCGAAGGCGGCUUUCUGGACUGUAACUGACGCUGAGGCACGAAAGCGUGGGGAGCAAACAGGAUUAGAAACCCCAGUAGUCC